Molecule: long non-coding RNA, 1439 nt
Filed under: Olea europaea (common olive)
Lineage: Eukaryota; Viridiplantae; Streptophyta; Magnoliopsida; Lamiales; Oleaceae
Description: long non-coding RNA (OEUR_LNC013737)
Source: RNAcentral
GAUUUCAUCCAAAUCUCAACCACGCUCAUUUAUUUCACAUUAUCUUUUGUUUCAUUAUCCUUUACACAAGGUAAGAUAUAUGUAGUAUUCGAUCUAAGCCGUUGAAUGGAUUUCAUCUGAAUCUCAACCACAAAAACAUUUAAUUUUUACAUUAUAUUUUACUUCAUUAUCCUUUACAAGAUAAGAUAUAUGUAUUAUUCGAUCUCAGGCGUUGAAUAGAUUUCAUCCGAAUCUCAACCACACAUUCACUUUCACUUUAUCUUUUGCCUCAUUAUCCUUUACAUAAUACGAUAUAUGUACUAUUCGAUCUAAACUGUUAAAUAGAUUUUAUUUGAAUCUCAACCACUAAUAUUUAUUUUCACUUAUCUUUUGUUUCGUUAUCGAUUACAAGAUAAUAUUUAUGUACUAUUUGAUCUUAGACAUUCAAUGAAUUUUGUUAUACCUCAUCUGAUAAGGCUUUAAGGGAUCUUACAUGACAGGAGUCAAGAUAACGAGAGCUCCGCCUGCUUGGCGGGCGGCAGGAGCUGCAGGCAAGUGCUUGGUAUCACUCUACCCAAGAGGAAGUUUGGCCAAAUCCCCAUGAAGAAGCUGAACCUAUUUAACUGAAUCGACCCCAUAUAAAGAAUCGAACCUUCAUGACGGGGUGAAGAAGCAAUGGGCCUAGCAGAAGAUUUUCUAUGCAAUACUUAAUAGUGAUUGAUGCGAAAAUUCACUAUUACCAUAUCUCUAUCCAGUCAAUCUGGUUAAGUGUAAGCCCUAUACCAGAUUUAUGGGCUACAAAAUGGUAUUAGCAUUAAAGGCUUAUGAUUGAUUGAUGUCUUUGACAAGAGGCCUCAGACGUGUGUAUUAGGCCAUGUAUACUUUCAUCUUACGGUUGAUAUCUAUCCCAUUCUACUAUAAAAGCUUGCAUAAUGUGUCAUUCUAAAGGUAAUGCAAGUUUAAACUCUGAAGCGAUAACUUUUUUAUCCUUACUGUUAUUAUCAUGUAUUCUCUCCAAAGUCGACCCUAUUUUUGCAUUAAAGGCUCGGGCUAAAGUACCUCCCACACUUAUAUACUUAUUAUUACAACUGACUUGACCGUAAAAGUGUGCAAUCUAGCUCCACCACCACCGCGAGAAGCCACAUGUGACUAACGAUUUGUCCAAGUAUGUAAGAACUAGGCUUAAGUGGACAUGGAAGCCCUUAGGAUCCAUUGGCCACUUUGGGGUACAAAAUUUGAAGUUAAGAUUGGUACCAUUUGUGGAAAACCAUACUGCAAUCACAAAUAUCCUUGUAGUAGAAGUAUUAGAAAAAACAUCAUAAUUUUUCCUUGAAAAAAGGUUUUUGUUCUUGAGGAAAGAACAAGUAGAAGUGCUAUUUAAAGUAUUGUAUAAUAUCCAAGUUAGUAUACUAUGAGUUCCAGCCAUUAUGGAUCCCUCGCAAGGACAAAUGGGAGACCCC